Molecule: ribosomal RNA, 597 nt
Filed under: Triticum aestivum (bread wheat)
Lineage: Eukaryota; Viridiplantae; Streptophyta; Magnoliopsida; Poales; Poaceae
Description: partial small subunit ribosomal RNA
Source: RNAcentral
AUGCUUUGCUUGUAUGUUGAUGACAUACUGAUUUUCGGAACAAAUCUGAAUGUUAUUAAGGAGGUCAAGGAUUUCCUAUCUCGUUGUUUUGAGAUGAAGGAUUUAGGAGUGGCUGAUGUCAUUCUGAACAUCAAGUUGUUGAGAGACGAUGAUGGUGGGAUUACAUUGCUUCAAUCUCACUAUGUGGAAAAGAUCUUGAGUCGCUUUGGCUACAGUGACUGCAAGCCCUCUCCAACACCAUAUGAUGCUAGCGUGCUGCUUCAAAAGAAUCGAAGAAUUGCUAGAGAUCAAUUGAAGUAUUCUCAGAUUAUUGGCUCGCUUAUGUACUUAGCCAGUGCUACAAGACCUGACAUCUCUUUUGCUAUAAAGGCCACGAGCGGAUAUGUGUUCACUCAUGGAGGUGGCGCUGUUUCUUGGAAGUCUUGCAAGCAGACCAUCUUAACGAGGUCAACUAUGGAAGCAGAACUCACAGCACUAGAUACAGCUACGGUCGAAGCAGAUUGGCUUCACCGGCUCUUGAAUGACUUGCCGGUUGUUGAGAAACCUGUACCGGGUAUCCUUAUGAACUGUGACAAUCAAACUAAGAACAUCUUUUGA